GGCCUCAGUGCCAGGGUAGCCCCAACCUACCCUCAGUCUACGCCCACCAAGCUACCCUCAUCAUUAUUUGCAGUGCAGGUAUAUCUGGCUCUUCCUGGGCCUGCAUUUGACUGAGAAUCUAAGACUAAAAAACUGUAGCCUGUCUCUUUCUUGCUGACUUGCAAUUUCUAUCUUACUGAAAUAGGAAAUUAACUGAAAUGUAGUUUUUCCCCUUGAGGGGAGGUGUUCCUAUUUUGGCAGGCCAUGAAAGAUGUCCUGUUGGAAACUGAAACUCAACAAAUAAGACACUUUCAUUUAAUGGCCUCUGCACAAACAUUUAUUGAGUCCUCUUUACAGGCUUAUAUUCCUUCCCAAAGCAUCUCCUCUUUUGGUUUCCCAUUUCUGUUGAUGGCACCAACGUUUUCCUCUUCCUUGGAUGAAAUUAAACAACAGCACAUUUUGAAAUGCAAAAAUUCAGGGAAGAAUUUCUAAGAGAACCAAUAGGUGCAUUUAUGUGAGUUUUAAUUGCCACUUUUUUCUUUGUCAAAUCACAUUUGAUUUCUUCCACUCUCCUUUCCUUCUCUCCCUUUUUUUCUCCUUUCUCUUGCCUCUCUCUCCCACUCUUUCAGAACAUUCUUUGCAUAAGUGGAGGGCUUGCUUAAAGAUCCACCUCUGGGAUUCAUUUCUAUGAAAUGGUACUGGCAAGUUCUGGUUUUUGAAGGUUUUAUAUGUAUGGCAGCUCAUCACAAAAGGAAUCUGGCAUUUCCUCUCCUUUAAAUUAUCCAUUUUUUUCUGGCCUGCCAAUGUGCAAACUGUUUAUGCCAGGAAUGUUUAGUAGCUAACCAGUCAAGACCUUGGGUUUCAGGGUUCUAUUUAGUUGAUACCCUCAUGUUUUUUGAAGCACUGAUGGCAGAACAACACUGAGUUAGCCUUUCAUGAAUAAAAGUCUUGGUAAGCAACUUAAGAAUAUUAUGUAAGGGGAAAAAAAUCAACUUAAAAAUUGCCAGAAUUCUAUUUCUCUAACAAGUUGACCUUUGCUCUUGUCACAUUUGCAAGUUUCUGUCAAAUAUGCACACAUAGUUUUGAUUGAAUUGUAAUCAGUGCAUAGAUCCAUUUUUACAUUCUGCCUUUAUUCUAUCUAUUGUAAACAGUUAUCCAUCUUGCCAUGUAAUUUUAUUUUUAUAACAAGUAUUGAGCAGCUACUGUAUUAAAAAAGAGAAUGAGACUGUGUUGGAUAGACAUCUGGAAUCAACUAGACCAGGGUUCAAGUCUUGGCUAUGCCAUUUGCUCAAUUUGGCAAGACUUCUUUGAGCCUCAGUUUCCACAUAUUUCAAACUGAGGCCAAUUAACCAUAUACUUUAUGAGAGUUGUAAAAUUUUAAUGAAAUGUGGAGAUAAAAUGUGAAAUACAUAGGACAGUUCUUGGCCUACACUAAGCAUUAAAUGAAUGCUGGUGAAUAAGAUGCUGAGAUGAUUGGCUGUAGUGAUGUCCCCAUGACCUCAAGGAGUUUAAUAGAGACAGAUCUGAAAAUACCUAUACAUAUAAGGAAUAACAGAUGCUAUAAUAAACAUCCACACAAAGUUCAUAAGUUCAUUGGAGGUCCCAAGGAAGCAUGGUUGAUUUCACCUGGGAAUGAAGGUGUAGAAAAUUAAGAAGAUAUUUACAAAGAGGCAGUCUUGAAAGCGACUGGCAUUUGCUGCAUAGAUACAGCCCAGCUAAUUCUAAAGAGGCAUGAGCAAAGCACAGCUAACAUUCUCACAUGGCUUAUGAAGGAUGAGAGUGAUUUUACUGAGUAGAAAUGAAGGAAGGUUAUUCCAGGUAUAUGCUAUGAUAUAAACAAGGACUUUGGGUUGUAGUUGUUUAUUCGGGAAAUGCAUGCAUUUAUAUUGUAUUUAAUACACUAGGGAACACAGGUUGACAGGUGGGGCAGGUGCAAGAAAUGAAGCUGAUAGGCAGGUGGAACAAAGCUCAUAGAGCUUGAAACUCCACCAGGCCAGUGAUAUGAAUGCCAUGCUCCUAAGACCCAUCUGGUGGCAGAGUGGAGCCUGGAUUGGUUAAGACAGAGCUGGAGACCAGAAACAAGUCUAUUGCAGUGGUCCAGACCAGAGGGGAUAGACUGAGCUAACGCUAUAAUACUCCACUGUGUAACAUAAACAUCCUCUUGUCUGUGGGCACUUAAUUUUAAACUGUCUCUGCUCUGAAUAUUGCUAUGGUUUGCAUCUUUAUCUGUAUAAAUGCAUUUCUUUCCUUCAGAUAUUUUCUUUAAGAUAAAGGGCACAAACAUCCGCAAUACUCUUGACAAUUAUAGGUAAAUUUGUUUCAAAUGGGUUUUCUAAAUUGCAUUUUCGCCAGGGUCCGUUGGUGUGUGGCCUUCACAGCACACUGGUAACAUUGAGUGCUGCCAUUCUUUUCCUUGUUGUUGUAGAAAGCAUAAAGCUGUUGUUUUAAUUUGCCUUUCCUUGAUAUCUACAGAAACUAAAUGUUUUCCCCAUUUGUCUUCUAAUUAUGUGUCCUCACUUGUGAAUUGCGUGUCCUGUCCUCUGCCCAUUUGAUAAGCAAUUGUGUUAAAUCCUUUUUUGGCUAGCCUCUCUUCUGGCAACUCUCCACAUACACAUUUCCCCACAGGCUCUCUUUCUAAUUUCUUUUCUCUUUGAUCUAUUGAAACCAAAUCCUUUUUCUAACUCCAUAUUACAAUAGACAUAACAAUUCUAAUUGCUCUAUUGAUUCAUGGCCACUACAGUGGUGGGCACAUUAGGAAGAACAAGAUUUUGCUCUGAUUUAAAAAGCCUGGCUUCAUGCUGUCAAACUGUGUGGUUUGGUGCAAGCAUCUUAAUCUCUGAACUGGUUUGCUUACCUGUGAAGUGGGAACAGUAGAAUGUGUUGGGAUGGAUUAGAAACUAUAUUAGGCCAUUGAUAGCAGAGACCCAAAUACUUAAAAAACAUGGUAGUCUAUUCUUUUACGUUAAAUUAUUUCGGAGGCGAGGAGCUCAGGGGUAGCAGAGUAAUUCCAUGAAGCUCUUCCUCUGCCUAUAGUGUAUUUGUGGGGUUAAGUUGUGGAAUUGGGUUGUGGCAUUUGGACAGUCUUAUUCCUCAAAACUGGAGAAGCAAGUGGGUAAUCUGGAAUAGUGGCAAAUCUGAACCUACUCGCUGAACAGAUAUUUAAAUAUCUGUUAUAUGCAGAACUCCAAGGUUUUUCUAAUGGAAAAUACCCAUUAGAAAUGGGUAAGUCAAAUAAGAGAAUCUUUGUUAUUUUUUGUCUAAAUCUUGGAGAAUGAUCUCCUCCUUCUUUAGGAAUGCCCAGACUUGGAAGCUCUGUGGUCUUCUACAUACUUGCCCAAGUAUCCUUACAAAAACUCCCAUCCCAUAAUAAGUGACUAGAGUAUUGUUC
This 3367-nucleotide long non-coding RNA is filed under the name Sus scrofa (pig). Its description in RNAcentral is "lncRNA (ENSSSCG00000051807.1)". Lineage: Eukaryota; Metazoa; Chordata; Mammalia; Artiodactyla; Suidae. The record is from RNAcentral.